Molecule: long non-coding RNA, 2259 nt
Organism: Mirounga angustirostris (Northern elephant seal)
Lineage: Eukaryota; Metazoa; Chordata; Mammalia; Carnivora; Phocidae
Exons: 2
Source: RefSeq, a predicted model, not a curated record
UGUCUCCUGUGCCUGACUUACCUCGGACGGUAAUUAGCAAUUACAGUUCUGUCUGUCUCCUAGAAUGAGCCGGAGCCCUUGGGACCAAGAGACCUGGCUUAGAUGUCUUUGUGUCCCCAUGGCACUCCGCACGAUGACUUCAGAAAGGAGAUAGUUUAUAAAAUGUUUGAUAAAUGAAAGAACGAGUCCCCUGAAAGGCAGGGAUGUUCACUCUGAUUUCGCAGAGGAGGUAGCUGAGCCAGGCACUGGAACUACAACCCCCCACCCCCUGCCCCACUGUCUUCCUGGAGCUGUCCAGAGGAAGUAAAAUGUGGGGCUGAGAUGGCCCACCGAUGGAGUGCCCACGGGCACCCUGCCCUCAGGGGGGCUGCCCGGGGGAGGGUUGGCUAGGCAUGAUUCAUCUUUCCUGAGGUCCUGGCAUAUUUUGCCUACCUCCACAGGGCCAAGGGUCAUGUUCCGAGGCCCCCAAUCCCAGCAUAAGUAGGCCCUCCCCAUCCCCAAGCACCAUGAACGGAAGACCACUAGGUGGCACUAAGUGGUCAGUUAGUCCCUUCCUAGAGACAGGGCAGGUCCUUUGUCUCCUCGCUGUGCCUGAGCUGGGCUCCCGGGCACCUCAGGAGCUGGGUUGCCCAGUAGGUGUAGGGAGGAGAGGUUCCUUUGCUGAGAAGCUUGCACUGGGUAUGUGUGGAGGACCUCAUGGUUUGUGUUCAUGAGCCCUCUUGUUCGUUUUUCACAAUAACUCUGAUAGGACAAUGGGACAUUAUCCCCACCUUAGUGGAGAGAGAACGAAUUUCUUGAAAGGUUAGAUGACUUGGCCAAACCCACCCUGCAAGCUGGGUCUGGAACUCAAGUCCCAGCUACAGGGAGGGUCCUGGGGUUUUUGCAAAGUCAGCAGAGGGCCCUGAGCCUCCAAGUGGCUCCGGCACUUCCCAUGUGACCUUGAACAAGCUGCUGAAAUCCUCAGCCCUAGUUUCAUCAUUAGUGAAGUGAGUCUAAGAGCGACCAACGGAGUUAGGACAAGUAAAGAGCUGGGGUGGAGGCAGGCAGGGGUGAGCCCCUCAUGGUUAGCUCCUAUUGUCUCCAUGACACUUACUCUAAGUGGCCACCCUGUACUGACCCCGUUGCCCUCCCUGCCUCUGGUGGCCCAGAGGAUAACAAAGAGAAUUAACAGGAUCCAGAGUAAACGAAAAUUUCUCUUUCAGUCUUCCCUCCUAGAGGACCCAGGCUGUGCCUACCCACUGCGAGGAAGGGGAGAAUGAAGGCCCCCCACCUUCCCCCAAGACACAUAAGGUCCCAGCCCUAGUCGCAGGAUAUGACCUGCCGCCUGGAGAAAGCUGCCAUAUCUGACGACAUCAAGAAGGUGGUGAAACAGGCAUUGGAGGGCCCCCUCAAGGGCAUCCUGGGCUGCACUGAGGACCAGGUUUGUCCUGCAACUUUAAUAGGGAUACCCUCUCUUCCACCUUGGAUGCUGGGGCUUGUGUUGCCCUCAGUGAUCACUUUGUCAAGCUCAUUUCCUGGUAGAACAGUGAAUUUCACUAUAGCAAUAGGGUGGUAGACCUUAGGGCCCACAUGGCCUCCAAGGAGUAAGAGUCUCCUAGACCAACAGCCCCAGCAAGAACACAAGAGAGAGACCCUCAGCUGCUUGAGAGGGUUUACCCCAACUCAACUUCCCAAUACACUGAGAUUCUAUACAGUUUCCAUCCCAGAAUCCCUGAAGAGGGGGAGGGGCUUAGGGAACCUUCCAUAUCAUGUACACCAAUAAAAUACAGUGGACCCAGCCCCCUCCCCUCCAUAAAACCUAUACCAAGGUAUAUCAUAAGUAGUUUUUAAAAUGUGAUAAAGGGAAAGAUUUAGAAGUAGCUAGAGUGGGGCACCUGGGUGGCUCAGUCGAUUAAGUAUCUGACUCUUGACCUCAGCUCAGGUCUUGAUCUCAGGAUCAUGAGUUCAAGCCCUGUGUUGGGCUCCAUGCUGGCCAUGGAGCUUACUUAAAAAUAAAAAAUAAAUAAAUAAAUAAAAGCAGCCAGACAUAUUACAUACAAACAAAAAUAAUGCUAACAGGUUUUUUUGUCAGAAAGCAUGCAAGGAAGAGGACAGUGGAGCCACAUCUUUAAAAUACAGAAAGAGAGGUGCCUGGCUGGAUCAGUCGUGAGUUCAAACCCCAUUUUGGGUGUAGAGAUUACUUAAAUAAAUGAAUAAAUAAAAUUUUAAAAAAUAAAAAUAAAGUACAGAAAGAAAAAAAAAUACAACAUCAACCUAAAA